Molecule: ribosomal RNA, 383 nt
Filed under: uncultured bacterium
Lineage: Bacteria
Description: bacterial SSU rRNA
Rfam family: Bacterial small subunit ribosomal RNA
Source: RNAcentral
AUUGAACGCUGGCGGCGUGCUUAACACAUGCAAGUCGAGCGGUAACAGGCGUAGCAAUACGUGCUGACGAGCGGCGAACGGGUGAGUAAUGCUUCGGAAUCUGCCCAGUAGUGGGGAAUAACCUGGGGAAACUCAAGCUAAUACCGCAUACGAACUAAGGUUGAAAGCAGGGGAUCGCAAGACCUUGCGCUAUUGGAUGAGCCGAAGUCGGAUUAGCAGUUGGUGAGGUAAUGGCUCACCAAGGCGACGAUCCGUAGCUGGUCUGAGAGGACGACCAGCCACACUGGAACUGAGACACGGUCCAGACUCCUACGGAGGCAGCAGUGGGGAAUAUUGGACAAUGGGGCAACCCUGAUCCAGCGACGCCGCGUGUGUGAAGAAGG